RNAcentral lists this ribosomal RNA (37 nucleotides) under Gamochaeta alpina. Its description in RNAcentral is "partial 28S ribosomal RNA". Lineage: Eukaryota; Viridiplantae; Streptophyta; Magnoliopsida; Asterales; Asteraceae. The record is from RNAcentral.
ACCGCGACCCCAGGUCAKGCGGGGAUUACCCGCUGAG